GUCGAAAUAGUUUUAAUUGGUUAAAACGUUUUCUUUGUAAGAAACAGGUACUGGUUCGAGUCCAGUUUUCGGCU
This 74-nucleotide transfer RNA is filed under the name Schizophyllum commune. RNAcentral's name for it is "tRNA-Thr". It matches the Rfam family "tRNA". Rfam says of the family: Transfer RNA (tRNA) molecules are approximately 80 nucleotides in length. Their secondary structure includes four short double-helical elements and three loops (D, anti-codon, and T loops). Lineage: Eukaryota; Fungi; Basidiomycota; Agaricomycetes; Agaricales; Schizophyllaceae. The record is from RNAcentral.